Molecule: ribosomal RNA, 429 nt
Filed under: Bacteroidota bacterium
Lineage: Bacteria; Pseudomonadati; Bacteroidota
Description: Bacteroidetes bacterium partial 16S ribosomal RNA
Rfam family: Bacterial small subunit ribosomal RNA
Source: RNAcentral
UAGGGAAUCUUCCGCAAUGGACGCAAGUCUGACGGAGCAACGCCGCGUGAGUGAAGAAGGAUUUCGGUUCGUAAAACUCUGUUGUUAGAGAAGAACAGCGCAUAGAGUAACUGUUAUGCGUGUGACGGUAUCUAACCAGAAAGCCACGGCUAACUACGUGCCAGCAGCCGCGGUAAUACGUAGGUGGCAAGCGUUGUCCGGAUUUAUUGGGCGUAAAGCGAGCGCAGGCGGUCAAUUAAGUCUGAUGUGAAAGCCCCCGGGUCAACCGGGGAGGGUCAUUGGAAACUGGUUGACUUGAGUGCAGAAGAGGAGAGUGGAAUUCCAUGUGUAGCGGUGAAAUGCGUAGAUAUAUGGAGGAACACCAGUGGCGAAGGCGACUCUCUGGUCUGUAACUGACGCUGAGGCUCGAAAGCGUGGGUAGCAAACAGG